UGAGGGGGAAAUCUCUGAAUCUGUGUC
Molecule: unclassified non-coding RNA, 27 nt
Filed under: Mus musculus (house mouse)
Lineage: Eukaryota; Metazoa; Chordata; Mammalia; Rodentia; Muridae
Description: oocyte_clustered_small_RNA7187
Source: RNAcentral